RNAcentral lists this ribosomal RNA (253 nucleotides) under uncultured bacterium. Its description in RNAcentral is "partial 16S ribosomal RNA". It matches the Rfam family "Bacterial small subunit ribosomal RNA", at positions 524 to 776 of the family's 1533-position model. The record is from RNAcentral.
UACGUAGGGGGCUAGCGUUGUCCGGAUUUAUUGGGCGUAAAGAGCGUGUAGGCGGCCAGGUAGGUCUGGUGUGAAAACUCGAGGCUUAACCUCGAGAUGUCAUCGGAAACCAUCUGGCUAGAGUCCGGAAGAGGAGAGUGGAAUUCCUGGUGUAACGGUGAAAUGCGCAGAUAUCAGGAAGAACACCAAUGGCGAAAGCAGCUCUCUGGGACGGUACUGACGCUGAGACGCGAAAGCGUGGGGAGCGAACAGG